AUUUCUCAAAAAUAUUCUACGAUCACAUCAAAAUUCAAUAAACACUACCUCAAGAGAUGCAUUCCCUCGCCUCUUAUGAGAAUUGACUAUUCAUUCAUGUCCCCAGUUGGAGGAAAGAUCUAGAAAUAAAAGGUGCAAAUUGGACUUUUCAUUUCUCACAUCCCAGAUUUUCAAGUUGAUGGCAAAAGAAUUCAAUGGGAGGGCCGCUAUCUAAUGAAUGAUGAAAAAAUCUUUGACUGUUUCUGUAAUGAAGGAUAAGUAUUGGUUGCCCAAAAAUUUAGCCACUCUGCUACUUGGGAAAUGAGCAUGAAAUUACAUCGUCUGUCUAUGCAAGGAGAUUUCUUGUGGCCCUUGUGUUCUUGGCAAAUGAUAAUGGAUAUGAAUUCUUUAUAAAUUUGAUUGGACUUUCACUUUCCACGUACCCUGGCUCAUCAAGUAAAAGGAAUCUCAGGGUUACAGAUGUUUACAUCCCUGAUUCAAAUUUUCUAUCUAAGAGGAACAUUAUUUAUCUUCCUCAUUUCUGAGAUAUGUUCAAAUUGGUGUCCCUCCCAAAGGGACUUCAAUAUGUUCCCACUCUGCUCGAUAAAUUGGGAACCCUAAAUCCUAGGAUUUCAAAUUUUCUAUCUAAGAGGAAUGUUAUUUAUCUUCCUUAUUUCCGAAAUAUGUUCAAAUUGGUGUCCCUCCCAAAGGGGCUUCAAUAUGUUCCCACUCUGCUCUAACUCCUAAUCGAAAGUUUUCCUAAUUGAUAUCUUUACAGGAGUGGAUGGGCAACCUCAUCGCAUUGGAAUAUUUAGAGAUAGUUAACUGUCCUCAACUAUCAGAAAGAUGCAGCAGCAACAUGGAUGUGGAUUGGCCCAAGAUUGCUGACAUUCCAAAUAUCUUAAUUGAUGGAAGAUGGAUUCAGACAUUCAGUCGAAUGGUAAUUACGAAAACCAAUUAGAAGAAUCCAUCAGACCUAUCUUCAAGUUGACAUCUUGCAAUGCUAUUAUAUCCCUUAAAAAGAGUUGUGAAUUGAUGUUCAAGAGGUUGAAAGACCACUUGUUUAGAAAACAAAGUGAGAUUCAUCAGCAUAUUGCUUCCAGACAAGUUAAACAUCAAAAACCCAUAGUUUUUACCUUCAUUUAAUUUGGAUUUUCAGGAAAAAAUGAAGUAUCCAGAAGUUCUUCCAAAAUAUGUAAAGCAUUUGUCCCAAAUUGAAGCCUUACUUAUCUUAAACCUCAUUUUCUAUCCAAGAGUAAAUUUCUGCAUGCAUAUGUUCUUGAUGAGUGGGAUAUGAAUUCUGAAUCAUUUUUACUGGACUUCACUUUCUCCGAACGCUGGUUCAUCAAGUAUGAGGAAUCACAGGGAUGCUGUUGAAAUUCUAAAAUAGGAAAGUGGAGAGCAAAUGCAAAGGGUUGCUGAAUUAAUGCAUUGGCAGAAGUUAUUAGAACAAACAUUAAAAACCAAAACAAUGUCAUGGCAGCAAUUACUUGAUUGGCUUGACAGAAUUCGCAUUCACAGAACCACAAUUAAUGGGUUUGGCCUUCCACACAUUGGAUUACAACUUUGGAGUCUGCUGCCAGAAGAUUCAUAAAAAGUGGUUGGGCAGUAAAAACAUAAUGUAAGCACUGUACUUCAAUUCUGUGUUCAAAAACAAGCAAUGCAAUGAGUAAUGCCAAAAUAUCAACAAUGUCAAAACCCUCCAUGCAGCAGUCAUCUUCAUAACUUCACUGGCGGCAAAGAUGACACAGAUGCACUAGCCUAUGCAGGUUGUGUCCUCAGCAUCCUCGAGUAAAGCUCACAGGGAUAAGAUUCCUGCUUGAUGAUAAUUCAGAAAACAUCUCUGAAAAGCUGACAGUUAUAGAAUAAAUCUUGUUGAGCUGGAAGCAGAAAUGAAACAUGUUGUAUUAGAGUGGUUCUCUGCUGCUAUAUUUUCCCAAGUUGUGUGUUCCAUUUUUGGUGGUUUCGGACUUCACAAAUGUAACAUGUUGGUCUUGUAACUGUCCCAGGUUUUUUACACUUAACAUAUAAGCCAUAUAUAGGUUGGGUUCCAUGGGGUUGAUCUGUUGAUCAAGGUCUUAGUUUGGC
This is a long non-coding RNA of Hevea brasiliensis (rubber tree), 2067 nucleotides long. RefSeq lists it as uncharacterized. The transcript has 8 exons. The record is from RefSeq and is a predicted model, not a curated record. Lineage: Eukaryota; Viridiplantae; Streptophyta; Magnoliopsida; Malpighiales; Euphorbiaceae.